This 325-nucleotide unclassified non-coding RNA is filed under the name uncultured fungus. RNAcentral's name for it is "partial contains small subunit ribosomal RNA, internal transcribed spacer 1, and 5.8S ribosomal RNA". The stretch from base 1 to 73 matches the Rfam family "Eukaryotic small subunit ribosomal RNA", at positions 1759 to 1831 of the family's 1831-position model. Lineage: Eukaryota; Fungi. The record is from RNAcentral.
UCAAACUUGGUCAUUUAGAGGAAGUAAAAGUCGUAACAAGGUUUCCGUAGGUGAACCUGCGGAAGGAUCAUUACCGAGUGAAGGGUCCCCCCCUCGGGGGUGUGGCCCGACCUCCCAACCCUGUGUUUACUGAACCCGACGUUGCUUCGGCAGGCCCGCCCACCGGCCGCCGGGGGGUGUCUCACCCCCGGGCCCGCGCCUGCCGACGGCCAACCUUCUUAAACUCAUGUUCAACCGUGUCGUCUGAAUGUGUCACAAACAUAAUGAAAAACACAAAACUUUCAACAACGGAUCUCUUGGUUCUGGCAUCGAUGAAGAACGCAGC